RNAcentral lists this ribosomal RNA (465 nucleotides) under Vreelandella stevensii. RNAcentral describes it as "partial 16S ribosomal RNA". It matches the Rfam family "Bacterial small subunit ribosomal RNA", at positions 338 to 795 of the family's 1533-position model. Lineage: Bacteria; Pseudomonadati; Pseudomonadota; Gammaproteobacteria; Oceanospirillales; Halomonadaceae. The record is from RNAcentral.
CCUACGGGAGGCAGCAGUGGGGAAUAUUGGACAAUGGGGGCAACCCUGAUCCAGCCAUGCCGCGUGUGUGAAGAAGGCCCGCGGGUUGUAAAGCACUUUCAGUGAGGAAGAACGCCUGGUGGUUAAUACCCAUCAGGAAAGACAUCACUCACAGAAGAAGCACCGGCUAACUCCGUGCCAGCAGCCGCGGUAAUACGGAGGGUGCGAGCGUUAAUCGGAAUUACUGGGCGUAAAGCGCGCGUAGGUGGCUUGAUAAGCCGGUUGUGAAAGCCCCGGGCUCAACCUGGGAACGGCAUCCGGAACUGUCAAGCUAGAGUGCAGGAGAGGAAGGUGGAAUUCCCGGUGUAGCGGUGAAAUGCGUAGAGAUCGGGAGGAAUACCAGUGGCGAAGGCGGCCUUCUGGACUGACACUGACACUGAGGUGCGAAAGCGUGGGUAGCGAACAGGAUUAGAUACCCUUGUAGUC